RNAcentral lists this ribosomal RNA (468 nucleotides) under uncultured bacterium. RNAcentral describes it as "partial 16S ribosomal RNA". It matches the Rfam family "Bacterial small subunit ribosomal RNA", at positions 28 to 507 of the family's 1533-position model. The record is from RNAcentral.
GACGAACGCUGGCGGCGUGCUUAACACAUGCAAGUCGAACGGAAAGGCCCUGCUUUUGUGGGGUGCUCGAGUGGCGAACGGGUGAGUAACACGUGAGUAACCUGCCCUUGACUUUGGGAUAACUUCAGGAAACUGGGGCUAAUACCGGAUAGGAGCUCCUGCUGCGUGGUGGGGGUUGGAAAGUUUCGGCGGUUGGGGAUGGACUCGCGGCUUAUCAGCUUGUUGGUGGGGUAGUGGCUUACCAAGGCUUUGACGGGUAGCCGGCCUGAGAGGGUGACCGGCCACAUUGGGACUGAGAUACGGCCCAGACUCCUACGGGAGGCAGCAGUGGGGAAUAUUGCACAAUGGGCGGAAGCCUGAUGCAGCAACGCCGCGUGCGGGAUGACGGCCUUCGGGUUGUAAACCGCUUUCGCCUGUGACGAAGCGUGAGUGACGGUAAUGGGUAAAGAAGCACCGGCUAACUACGUG